Molecule: antisense RNA, 75 nt
Filed under: Mycobacterium intermedium
Lineage: Bacteria; Bacillati; Actinomycetota; Actinomycetes; Mycobacteriales; Mycobacteriaceae
Description: ASpks TB sRNA
Rfam family: ASpks TB sRNA
Source: Rfam by way of RNAcentral
CUUGACCGAGCCCACCAGCAGCGGGUGUUUCUCCGAAUGGGCUUUUCCGUACGUCGCGAGCAGCGCGUGCGCUUC